GCCUCUACUCCAAGCAGAACAACCCUGGGAGGUGACAUUUUUCUGGGCUAGCAGGCCAGCUGGGGUCACAGCCCAGUGGCCCAGUUCAGAGCUGAGAUGUGAGCAUAGCGGCGCUCCUGACCUGCAGCUGUCCCCGUUUAGACCACGCACACUGAAGCACUUAGCAUCACAUGGCCAGGAAGCAAAGGAAGAUCUACUUUAGAAAGAUCUAUUUCGAGAGCCCUUGGACACGCAGGUGGCCUCAUUGCUUGAGCAGUGCUGUGUGUGCUCAGCAGCAAAACACAGGGGUGCAGGGCAGGAGCUGACGGGGCUGCAGAGCUGCUGACAGCCAGGCACAAGUAAGGUAGCAGUGCUGAGAAAGUCAGCGGGCAGGUACAGGAGGCAAAAACAGAGCCUAAAAAACACAGUUUACCUGCAACUUCAUUACUACUUGCUCUGGAUCAUGUUUUUCCAUGAAAGUUUCUAUUACAGGAAGGAAAAAAAAAAAAAAGACUUCUUGCUUUUUGUCUUGACCUUACCCUUCCACUGUAUUCCACACUCUUUGCUCAGUCAGUUUCAGCCUUAAAUCUGGAGACAGGAUGUGAGUGAGUCACAUUAAAUGAAGACUGUUCUCUAUAUUUUCUGACUCACUGCAGACUCGAGUUUCCAAAUCCUAAGUUCUUUCUGCACCGUCAGCCAUCUUAGGUAAUGUAGCAAAUUCCUUAGCUACAGCAUUAUAACUUGCUCAUUUUCUGCGGAAGCUUAGGAGGUACCAAAGACUGACUGGGGGACUUCUUUCCAACUUUUAUAUUUGUCACUGUGUCCAGAUGAGCUGAACGAUUUCUUCUUUCUAAAUUCAAUGGCAAAUUAAUAGUAUAUGAAACAUAACACCUGUGAAGAUCUUGGCCUGUUCUGACAAUAAUAAUAAUAUGGGCACACAUAUAUACACAGACACAUUGACUAAGACCAGGACUUCCAUCCACACACAAAGGAGAGUCAAAGCAACCCUGAAGAAGGGCAUUAGGAAUGAUUUCAACCUAUUUCCACUGGCUCAAAAAUAUCUGUGACCAGUUGCCAGUCAGACAGCUGCUGUGCAGUUUUCUGGGUUCCAGCACCAAACAGGAACUAUGUCCAUCCCAAAGUAUCUGAAGGACAUCCCAAUGAGUCCCUUGUCUCAUCGGCAGAUGGACAGUGGAAAGAUGACGAUUUUGGUGCUCCUUGUAUAUGUUGUACAGCCCCCUGCUGCCAUCACACUGUGGGAAUUUGUGUGUGCAUCUCAUUACACAUGAACGAGAUCACAAGGGCAAUUUCCUGUGAUGUGAUUCUUCAGCAUCUGCCAUCAAGGCAAAAACACCUUUGCAGCUCUGAACAGCACGGCAGCUAUCGGCCCUGGUAGCAACAGCCUCUCUUUUGCUCACAGCUGCCCUGAAGACCUUUCACACUGUGCUGAAGGAUGAAGCCUGAUGAUAUCAGGUAAAACUAUAAAAUAAGUAACCAAACCUCUGCCAAACUUUUCAGCAGAAAUAUCCAGCUUCCACGCUCACUCAGUAAUCCCAACCCAUCCACCACAUCUGUACAGAUACCCCGUGUCCAAAGCAUUCCUCUGCAGAGCUUUGCAAUUUAUAUCUCCUGCUGUCAUUUUGCAGCAAACUAGCAACUGAUAUGGGAGUAAUGAGCGAUAAUAAGCUUGACAAUGCAAAGAAUUGCCCUGUCAAUGCAAUUACUCAACAUCAAGUCAAGCUGAACCAAACCUACCAGUGCUAAUUUAUCUGAACCUUCACAGACCAUCUCCUUUCCUGGGCCAGAGCAUCUCAGAAAUUUUUCUGCAGAUCACAGACCGCGAAGCAUCCACAGCUCUAUACAUGAGGAUGUAUACAACUGCAUACAUUCCUUAAACAUAUACGGAUAGUUUUCAUGCUAUGGAAACACAUGUAAAAGUGCAAAUCAUAUUUUAUCAAACAAAAGCACUAUGCCUCCUUAAAUAUGUACUACUUAUCCCUAGACUUUCAGAGUCUGUACUAUAAAUCAGAAGUAAAUUAACUCACUCAACCAUAUCCAAUCACCUCUUCUAGCCUUACUGCUCACUCUUUAUGACAUUACAGAUGUUUUCGACUUUGUUUCACUACCCAAUUGUUUUACCUCUAACUGAGCCUUGGAUGAAGUCAUAGGACUCAGUUUGUGUAACCCAAUGUCGCUUCACUGGAGCUCAGGGAGUUAUGUGUUCUUAUAACAGCAAUGAAUUUAAUUCACGCUCAGAGGAACAACAUAGUUGCAGCACACUGCUCAACAUGAAUUAUGAGGACAGCUUUGAGCGCUCAGGUAAAUGGAUAUCAUAAAUUUAGCCCUGGUAUAAAUCUAGGAAUUCAUACUGGGAAUGGAUGCAACUGAGUUGUCUUGCUGCUCACGUGCUCUCUGGUUUAAAGGCUACACAUUAUUCAUGGCUGAUGUAAGCAGCUGAAAGUCUGCUAAACUCCCUGGAAUUGCACUCAGCUAUGCUAGCCAUGAACGUGUCCCUGUGGCAUUAUCCAAUACACAGCUAAAUCAGCAGUGCCAAAUGGUGACACAAAACCGAGACACGCAGAAUGAGAUUUUUCAGAGCUUGUUUCAAAGAUAAUGGAAAAUCUGAAGCCUGUACCCGAAUAUGAAGGACUAUAUCACAACUUCCUUGGAGAGGGAUGACAGCAGUGGCAGAAGUGAUUAUCCCACAUCUGAAGGAAUUAGCUGAAAUCGGUGAAACUAAUUCUGGGGGAAAGUGUUAUGCAGAAGAACAAGGGCCAGAACUGAGCCCAGAGUAACAUCCUGUUCAAAGCCAGGAGGAGGAACUGAGGCUCCUCAUCUGUUUGUGACAUGAUCCCCUCGCAGCACUGCUGUAAGUCAAGAAACAAGAACCCCUUAUGUCAUUGCUCUUCCCCCCAGCUUUCAAUACUCCACAUAAUUAGAGCUUUUUAACAUGCAGCUCAUGUGAGAACUUUGAAUGUAAUAACAAAAUGCCUAAUCUGGUUACCUGAGCCAUCGGAAAGAACACGCAUUCUUGCAUAUCAAUGAUGCAUUAAUACAUCAGAAGCUUUUCAGAGUUAUUAAAACGGACCUAAAACCACAAGCAAUUUCCAAGCUAAUAUUCCAGAUGCACCACGAGAUCUAAUUCAAGAAGUCCUGCCACAGAACAGUUUAUCUCAUUUUACUUCUCAUGAGACCAAUAAUUAUGAACUGAUGUACACAAAGGCUGUCUCAGGUGUAGCAAUCCCCAGAGGAGCAUCACCACAAACUGAACAAAUGUAUUUCAUCCUGAGAUUCUAGCAAACAAACUGAACAGAAAUAUGCAGCAAACAAAAUCCAAGCAGUUACAAACUCAAGAAAACAUAGUGAAAUAUACAUGGCAAGUAUCCAUGGCUGAGAAACAACUGCUUUCCUCAGAAGGUCUCCUGAUGAUGCUUCGAAGCCUGGAGAGGAUUAUGCAGCUGAAUGCGCCCAUUUUGCACUUUCCAUCUGCAAAGGUUUUUAACUAAUGAACCUUCACAAGGCCCCAGUGAGACAGGUAAGUAUUUUAAGCCACCUCACAGAAAGCUAAGUUGGCUACCGUUUUGGUAAAGCUGAUGCCAGAGCAGAUAUUGGAAAGCUGUAGUCCCAAAGGCACUGUGAUACUUAUGAGAACUUUUCUUCCCUGCACUGUACUUUAUUCUUUCUACCCUCCUCCUUUGGGUUCAGCAAGGGAACACAGUGAUACUACGGCUGAUUUUUGUCACCCUAUGAAAUCCACAGAGCUGACUCACUCCACCAGAACAUUUAGCACUGCAAGAGCUAUCGUGAUGAGCAGGAAGUGGCUGACUUUAAGGCACUGAGCAUAAAGCAUGAAAGGAUGUUGCACUCUGAGCUGCAGAAAAUGCCUCCCUUCACUUGAGAUUGCAAGUCAUUUAUCUUCUACUGGAGUACCCCUUCCUGGUGAACAGAGCUAGCAGGGGAGCCUGCUCAUGCUGUGUUAAAACCAUGUUUGUUGGAGAAUUCAGCCAGGAUGUAGACUUGUCCUUCUCCUCCCCCUAGGGAAGAUAUACACAGGGUUUAAAGCUCUCUCUUGUUUCCAAACCCUUUCUUGUUCCCUCCUAUAGGAAGGGGAAGGCACAAAACCUUCGUAUGUGGCUUGGAACAGUGUAAGGAGAUUGCAAGCCAGCAGGCAGCAAAACACGUGGCUAUUCACUUGGGCAGUCUAUCCUGAUGGAUGUAAUGAGACUAUUUGCAAACAUAAAUAUAAGGUUGUGUGGAAGUACAGGGUUGGAGCUGUGUGAUGAGCCUUUAACUUUAUUCUUUCUUAAUAUUCAAAUGGUUACUUUGCAAGCUAUGCUGAACAUCCCAUUAUCAGUGCUUAUGGAUGCUGUUUCCCUGCACUGAUUUGUUAAUUAAAUAUGAAAUUAUAACAGGCAAUGCAUCACUGCUGAUCAAUUAAUGUCUCAAGUCCUCUGUGAAACUCUGUCAGUUCAGAGUUCGUGCCACCAAGAAAUGUUCUUUUCUUGGCUAUCCUACUUUCUGAGAAUGCUUUAUAAAAUAAAUGUGAAAGCAGGUGAUACUGCAUAGCUUCUGUCUUCAACAUCAUCCUUGUGUUAACAGUUCCACCUUGUGCAGCUCACAGAGGUGGUAGUCACUAAAAUUGCAAUUAUAACAUCUAAAGUGGUGGGAUUAUUUUAAGUGAUAAUUGAGAUUCAUUUCCUACUCAGAUUUUGUCAUAACAACUCUGUCUUCUUUCCCUUCGUUAUGGAGAAAAGACUGGUGAAGCCACAUAAAAAGACACUCUUUCUUACAGACAUUUAUUUAGUUAACAUUAUUGACAUUUAAAGAUUCAAAUGGCAUUAAGAAGUAUUUCUGCAUAGCAGAACUCUAUCAAUUGCCUAUCUGAGAAAUGCAUUACAAGUCUGAACUAAUCCUGCAUUUUCUGUAACAUCAGCCAUCGUAUGCAUCUCACUGCAAGAUCUGAGUGUAAAAAGAGAGACUGGACUUCAAAGAAGAACAUUUACCCCAGUUAUGUUCUUUGCACUGUAUCGUUAUUCUUUCCUCAAGAAACAAAGAGAUGCUGUCACACUACAUAGCUAGCUGCUGUGGCCAUAACUACUUUCUCUCACUUUUCUGUACCACAGCUCUAUGUAUGUCUUCAGAACACGUAUUUUGUUGCCAGUUUUAAGUUAAAAAUUGGUCUGUUCCCUGAGGCUGGAAACUGAAACCUGCUUUUAGGGGACUCCUGUUCCACUGCAGAGUUUGUAAUGGAAGAUGACACUGACUGUCCAGGGACUCUCUUUUUUCAUCUUCUUGGUACAGUGCUGGGGGAUCAACCACAACACAGCAUGGCCCCACUCUGCACUCCCGCCCCUCCUGAGACCUGGUUCCUGCCUCUCUUUCCCCCCACAGCUGAGUGUUCCUAGCCUCAGCACAGCGAGUCCUUCCCCAGAAUGCUUAAUGCUGCUGUGGAAACUGGUGACAUUGUGAGAAACUGACAUGAGAGGUUCAGAUGAUACUGCCCGUCAUAAUGAAAGGGUCUCACCCAAUAAGUCACAGAGCCUAAGCAAAACAAAAGAAAAAAUGACCACACAACAUAGCCUCUGAAAACUACACAUUUCUAUUUUUUUUUUUCUUUUCUAAAAAGCACUAAGAAAAUGUUGACUCCUAUGUGGAACAAGAGAAGCAAGAUUCAACUGCAGAAUAGUGUCCAUAGAUCUUGCCCAUGGGGCCCUUUUCACACAUGUAAAGCCCAGAGGACAGAUUCAUCCAGAGACAUUUUAAUUUUUAAUCAAAAUCUUUCAGGCUGAAAUAUCAUUAUUGUAAUUGGAAAUGGUUCCAUUUAAGCUAUUGAACUGUUCUUGAACUGAACAGAAUAGCAUAAAAUGCUCUUGGUUCUUUUAUAAAAUAGUAGGAAAACUACUUCACUUAUAAAUCAAAAUGCUGGGGUGUUUGUUAGCUGCCAUCUUAUUUGCUGGAGCACUUUUAUGUCCUAAGGUUGCACUGUUAUCAGCUCCUAACAUGAGCUCAGGCAAGGAAGCUUUCUUGAAUCAUGUCAGCCUUUAAGGGGUUCAGAAGCUGAAUUUUUCUCAAGAGGCUAAAAUUCACAUUCAACCUCUUACAAUUUCAAGA
Non-coding RNA from Anas platyrhynchos (mallard), 6090 nucleotides. The record is from RefSeq and is a predicted model, not a curated record. NCBI's taxonomy places the organism in Eukaryota, Metazoa, Chordata, Aves, Anseriformes, Anatidae.